This 450-nucleotide ribosomal RNA is filed under the name uncultured bacterium. Its description in RNAcentral is "bacterial SSU rRNA". It matches the Rfam family "Bacterial small subunit ribosomal RNA", at positions 354 to 796 of the family's 1533-position model. The record is from RNAcentral.
GUGGGGAAUUUUGGACAAUGGGCGAAAGCCUGAUCCAGCCAUGCCGCGUGCAGGAUGAAGGCCUUCGGGUUGUAAACUGCUUUUGUACGGAACGAAAAGACUCCUUCUAAUAAAGGGGGUCCAUGACGGUACCGUAAGAAUAAGCACCGGCUAACUACGUGCCAGCAGCCGCGGUAAUACGUAGGGUGCAAGCGUUAAUCGGAAUUACUGGGCGUAAAGCGUGCGCAGGCGGGUAUAUAAGACAGAGGUGAAAUCCCCGGGCUCAACCUGGGAACUGCAUGUGUGACUGUAUAGCUAGAGUACGGUAGAGGGGGACGAAAUUCCGCGUGUAGCACUGAAAUGCGUAGAUAUGCGGAGGAACACCGAUGGCGAAGGCAAUCCCCUGGACCUGUACUGACGCUCAUGCACGAAAGCGUGGGGAGCAAACAGGAUUAGAUACCCUGGUAGUCC